This 392-nucleotide ribosomal RNA is filed under the name uncultured bacterium. RNAcentral describes it as "partial 16S ribosomal RNA". It matches the Rfam family "Bacterial small subunit ribosomal RNA", at positions 523 to 918 of the family's 1533-position model. The record is from RNAcentral.
AUACGGAGGAUCCGAGCGUUAUCCGGAUUUAUUGGGUUUAAAGGGUGCGCAGGCGGCCAUUUAAGUCAGCGGUUAAAUCGUGGGGCUCAACCCCAUUCUGCCGUUGAUACUGGGUGGCUUGAUUGCGGUCGAGGUUGGCGGAAUUCGUUGUGUAGCGGUGAAAUGCAUAGAUAUGACGAAGAACACCGCUUGCGUAGGCAGCUGACCAGACCGCAAAUGACGCUCAUGCACGAAAGUGCGGGGAUCGAACAGGAUUAGAUACCCUGGUAGUCCGCACAGUAAACGAUGAAUACUUGUUUUCGGCGAUAUAAUGUCGGAGGCAAAGCGAAAGCGAUAAGUAUUCCACCUGGGGAGUACGCCGGCAACGGUGAAACUCAAAUGAAUUGACGGGG